AUUCAGUCAUUCAUAGCAAAUUAUACCAAACUAUUACAUGUUAACAUAGUAAUGUUAUGUUAAUUUUAAUUGCAGAGAUGAAGCCCAUCCAUCUCUAACAACAGCCUCAGCGACUAUUAAUAGAGAAAUACAUGGCCAGGAUAAGCAAAACAAGCGUGAUGUGAUUCUGCUCAUGAGUCUUAUAGCGACGCUUGUGCUGUCCCUGCUUGUUUCUCUCGUUGUAAUAAUAACCUGGAUGCUGAGAAAGAAGUUGGAGAGGGGUCACAUUAGAGAAGAAGAACAUUUUAACCCCACCAGUAAUACGACGGCCUCUGAAAACCAGAUGACAUCCAUCAGUCCAGCAGCUGCUACUUCUUCUGCCUCAGUGGACGACUGUUCGGUGAUUUACAGUUCUGUGAU
This is a long non-coding RNA of Rhinichthys klamathensis goyatoka, 399 nucleotides long. RefSeq lists it as uncharacterized. The record is from RefSeq and is a predicted model, not a curated record. Lineage: Eukaryota; Metazoa; Chordata; Actinopteri; Cypriniformes; Leuciscidae. The transcript has 5 exons.